CUCGUGAACCAAAUAUGGUCGGCUGGGUUGUCUUUGCGGAAACGCUUAGGUGACUUGUCUACGAAUUGUAAUCAUAAUAUGCGCGACGGUGAAUCCUUUGCAGACGACUUGAAUGGGAACGGGGUACUGUAAGUGGUAGAGUAGCCUUGUUGCUACGAUCCACUGAGGUUAAGCCCUUGUUCUAAAGAUUUGUUC
This 195-nucleotide ribosomal RNA is filed under the name Armillaria mellea. RNAcentral describes it as "partial 26S ribosomal RNA". It matches the Rfam family "Eukaryotic large subunit ribosomal RNA", at positions 3208 to 3401 of the family's 3401-position model. The record is from RNAcentral. Lineage: Eukaryota; Fungi; Basidiomycota; Agaricomycetes; Agaricales; Physalacriaceae.